AGAGUUUGAUCAUGGCUCAGAUUGAACGCUGGCGGCAGGCCUAACACAUGCAAGUCGAGCGGUAGCACAGAGAGCUUGCUCUCGGGUGACGAGCGGCGGACGGGUGAGUAAUGUCUGGGAAACUGCCUGAUGGAGGGGGAUAACUACUGGAAACGGUAGCUAAUACCGCAUAAUGUCGCAAGACCAAAGUGGGGGACCUUCGGGCCUCAUGCCAUCAGAUGUGCCCAGAUGGGAUUAGCUAGUAGGUGGGGUAACGGCUCACCUAGGCGACGAUCCCUAGCUGGUCUGAGAGGAUGACCAGCCACACUGGAACUGAGACACGGUCCAGACUCCUACGGGAGGCAGCAGUGGGGAAUAUUGCACAAUGGGCGCAAGCCUGAUGCAGCCAUGCCGCGUGUGUGAAGAAGGCCUUCGGGUUGUAAAGCACUUUCAGCGGGGAGGAAGGCGUUAAGGUUAAUAACCUUGGCGAUUGACGUUACCCGCAGAAGAAGCACCGGCUAACUCCGUGCCAGCAGCCGCGGUAAUACGGAGGGUGCAAGCGUUAAUCGGAAUUACUGGGCGUAAAGCGCACGCAGGCGGUCUGUCAAGUCGGAUGUGAAAUCCCCGGGCUUAACCUGGGAACUGCAUUCGAAACUGGCAGGCUAGAGUCUUGUAGAGGGGGGUAGAAUUCCAGGUGUAGCGGUGAAAUGCGUAGAGAUCUGGAGGAAUACCGGUGGCGAAGGCGGCCCCCUGGACAAAGACUGACGCUCAGGUGCGAAAGCGUGGGGAGCAAACAGGAUUAGAUACCCUGGUAGUCCACGCCGUAAACGAUGUCGAUUUGGAGGUUGUGCCCUUGAGGCGUGGCUUCCGGAGCUAACGCGUUAAAUCGACCGCCUGGGGAGUACGGCCGCAAGGUUAAAACUCAAAUGAAUUGACGGGGGCCCGCACAAGCGGUGGAGCAUGUGGUUUAAUUCGAUGCAACGCGAAGAACCUUACCUGGUCUUGACAUCCACAGAACUUAGCAGAGAUGCUUUGGUGCCUUCGGGAACUGUGAGACAGGUGCUGCAUGGCUGUCGUCAGCUCGUGUUGUGAAAUGUUGGGUUAAGUCCCGCAACGAGCGCAACCCUUAUCCUUUGUUGCCAGCGGUUAGGCCGGGAACUCAAAGGAGACUGCCAGUGAUAAACUGGAGGAAGGUGGGGAUGACGUCAAGUCAUCAUGGCCCUUACGACCAGGGCUACACACGUGCUACAAUGGCAUAUACAAAGAGAAGCGACCUCGCGAGAGCAAGCGGACCUCAUAAAGUAUGUCGUAGUCCGGAUUGGAGUCUGCAACUCGACUCCAUGAAGUCGGAAUCGCUAGUAAUCGUAGAUCAGAAUGCUACGGUGAAUACGUUCCCGGGCCUUGUACACACCGCCCGUCACACCAUGGGAGUGGGUUGCAAAAGAAGUAGGUAGCUUAACCUUCGGGAGGGCGCUUACCACUUUGUGAUUCAUGACUGGGGUGAAGUCGUAACAAGGUAACCGUAGGGGAACCUGCGGUUGGAUCACCU
RNAcentral lists this ribosomal RNA (1528 nucleotides) under Klebsiella pneumoniae. RNAcentral's name for it is "bacterial SSU rRNA". It matches the Rfam family "Bacterial small subunit ribosomal RNA". RNAcentral also lists the same sequence under 1 other name. Lineage: Bacteria; Pseudomonadati; Pseudomonadota; Gammaproteobacteria; Enterobacterales; Enterobacteriaceae. The record is from RNAcentral.